CUUAUUGUCACUAUAGAGCUUCCUUUGUGCAUGUCCUCGUCCUGUCUCAGUGCAUGUGGACGUCGGAAUCGCCUGUGGUUUGUCACUGUUAGGUCUGCCUCCUUGUCCGUCUGUCAUUGGUUGCAUGUCCGUUAGGUGGCGUCUGUACAGAGCAGCUGUGUCCUCCACCUUGUGCUGUACUGUCAGAUUUUUAAGGUUGCUUUACCUUUUACGAGUCAAUUCUGGCUUAACUUUCCUUUACAGUGAAAUUACAGAUAGCAACAAAGGCCGGAAGAUGUUGGAGAAGAUGGGUUGGAAAAAGGGAGAAGGCCUGGGGAAGGACGGUGGCGGGAUGAAAACACCG
RNAcentral lists this long non-coding RNA (343 nucleotides) under Rattus norvegicus (Norway rat). Its description in RNAcentral is "long non-coding RNA NONRATT015980". The record is from RNAcentral. Lineage: Eukaryota; Metazoa; Chordata; Mammalia; Rodentia; Muridae.